Molecule: ribosomal RNA, 465 nt
Filed under: Vreelandella stevensii
Lineage: Bacteria; Pseudomonadati; Pseudomonadota; Gammaproteobacteria; Oceanospirillales; Halomonadaceae
Description: partial 16S ribosomal RNA
Rfam family: Bacterial small subunit ribosomal RNA
Source: RNAcentral
CCUACGGGAGGCAGCAGUGGGGAAUAUUGGACAAUGGGGGCAACCCUGAUCCAGCCAUGCCGCGUGUGUGAAGAAGGCCCUCGGGUUGUAAAGCACUUUCAGUGAGGAAGAACGCCUGGUGGUUAAUACCCAUCAGGAAAGACAUCACUCACAGAAGAAGCACCGGCUAACUCCGUGCCAGCAGCCGCGGUAAUACGGAGGGUGCGAGCGUUAAUCGGAAUUACUGGGCGUAAAGCGCGCGUAGGUGGCUUGAUAAGCCGGUUGUGAAAGCCCCGGGCUCAACCUGGGAACGGCAUCCGGAACUGUCAAGCUAGAGUGCAGGAGAGGAAGGUAGAAUUCCCGGUGUAGCGGGGAAAUGCGUAGAGAUCGGGAGGAAUACCAGUGGCGAAGGCGGCCUUCUGGACUGACACUGACACUGAGGUGCGAAAGCGUGGGUAGCAAACAGGAUUAGAUACCCGGGUAGUC